UGGGAUGUAGCUCAGUGGCAAAGCACUUGCCUAGCAAGCGCAACGUCCUGGGUUCGAUUCCCAGUACCAA
RNAcentral lists this transfer RNA (70 nucleotides) under Dipodomys ordii (Ord's kangaroo rat). It matches the Rfam family "tRNA". From Rfam's summary of the family: Transfer RNA (tRNA) molecules are approximately 80 nucleotides in length. The record is from Rfam by way of RNAcentral. Lineage: Eukaryota; Metazoa; Chordata; Mammalia; Rodentia; Heteromyidae.